GAGCGGAUGAACUGAGGGUAGCGGAGAAAUUCCAAUCGAACCUGGAGAUAGCUGGUUCUCUCCGAAAUAGCUUUAGGGCUAGCCUCAAGUGAUAAUUAUUGGAGGUAGAGCACUGUUUGGACGAGGGGCCCCUCUCGGGUUACCGAAUUCAGACAAACUCCGAAUGCCAAUUAAUUUAACUUGGGAGUCAGAACAUGGGUGAUAAGGUCCGUGUUCGAAAGGGAAACAGCCCAGACCACCAGCUAAGGUCCCAAAAUAUAUGUUAAGUGGAAAAGGAUGUGGCGUUGCCCAGACAACUAGGAUGUUGGCUUAGAAGCAGCCAUCAUUUAAAGAGUGCGUAAUAGCUCACUAGUCGAGUGACACUGCGCCGAAAAUGUACCGGGGCUAAACAUAUUACCGAAGCUGUGGAUUGUCCUUUGGACAAUGGUAGGAGAGCGUUCUAAGGGCGUUGAAGCAUGAUCGUAAGGACAUGUGGAGCGCUUAGAAGUGAGAAUGCCGGUGUGAGUAGCGAAAGACGGGUGAGAAUCCCGUCCACCGAUUGACUAAGGUUUCCAGAGGAAGGCUCGUCCGCUCUGGGUUAGUCGGGUCCUAAGCUGAGGCCGACAGGCGUAGGCGAUGGAUAACAGGUUGAUAUUCCUGUACCACCUAUAAUCGUUUUAAUCGAUGGGGGGACGCAGUAGGAUAGGCGAAGCGUGCGAUUGGAUUGCACGUCUAAGCAGUAAGGCUGAGUAUUAGGCAAAUCCGGUACUCGUUAAGGCUGAGCUGUGAUGGGGAGAAGACAUUGUGUCUUCGAGUCGUUGAUUUCACACUGCCGAGAAAAGCCUCUAGAUAGAAAAUAGGUGCCCGUACCGCAAACCGACACAGGUAGUCAAGAUGAGAAUUCUAAGGUGAGCGAGCGAACUCUCGUUAAGGAACUCGGCAAAAUGACCCCGUAACUUCGGGAGAAGGGGUGCUCUUUAGGGUUAACGCCCAGAAGAGCCGCAGUGAAUAGGCCCAAGCGACUGUUUAUCAAAAACACAGGUCUCUGCUAAACCGUAAGGUGAUGUAUAGGGGCUGACGCCUGCCCGGUGCUGGAAGGUUAAGAGGAGUGGUUAGCUUCUGCGAAGCUACGAAUCGAAGCCCCAGUAAACGGCGGCCGUAACUAUAACGGUCCUAAGGUAGCGAAAUUCCUUGUCGGGUAAGUUCCGACCCGCACGAAAGGCGUAACGAUUUGGGCACUGUCUCAACGAGAGACUCGGUGAAAUCAUAGUACCUGUGAAGAUGCAGGUUACCCGCGACAGGACGGAAAGACCCCGUGGAGCUUUACUGUAGCCUGAUAUUGAAAUUCGGCACAGCUUGUACAGGAUAGGUAGGAGCCUUUGAAACGUGAGCGCUAGCUUACGUGGAGGCGCUGGUGGGAUACUACCCUAGCUGUGUUGGNUUUCUAACCCGCACCACUUAUCGUGGUGGGAGACAGUGUCAGGCGGGCAGUUUGACUGGGGCGGUCGCCUCCUAAAAGGUAACGGAGGCGCUCAAAGGUUCCCUCAGAAUGGUUGGAAAUCAUUCAUAGAGUGUAAAGGCAUAAGGGAGCUUGACUGCGAGACCUACAAGUCGAGCAGGGUCGAAAGACGGACUUAGUGAUCCGGUGGUUCCGCAUGGAAGGGCCAUCGCUCAACGGAUAAAAGCUACCCCGGGGAUAACAGGCUUAUCUCCCCCAAGAGUUCACAUCGACGGGGAGGUUUGGCACCUCGAUGUCGGCUCAUCGCAUCCUGGGGCUGUAGUCGGUCCCAAGGGUUGGGCUGUUCGCCCAUUAAAGCGGUACGCGAGCUGGGUUCAGAACGUCGUGAGACAGUUCGGUCCCUAUCCGUCGUGGGCGUAGGAAAUUUGAGAGGAGCUGUCCUUAGUACGAGAGGACCGGGAUGGACAUACCUCUGGUGUACCAGUUGUCGUGCCAACGGCAUAGCUGGGUAGCUAUGUGUGGACGGGAUAAGUGCUGAAAGCAUCUAAGCAUGAAGCCCCCCUCAAGAUGAGAUUUCCCAACUUCGGUUAUAAGAUCCCUCAAAGAUGAUGAGGUUAAUAGGUUCGAGGUGGAAGCAUGGUGACAUGUGGAGCUGACGAAUACUAAUCGAUCGAAGACUUAAUCAA
Molecule: ribosomal RNA, 2124 nt
Filed under: Staphylococcus aureus
Lineage: Bacteria; Bacillati; Bacillota; Bacilli; Caryophanales; Staphylococcaceae
Description: bacterial LSU rRNA
Rfam family: Bacterial large subunit ribosomal RNA
Source: RNAcentral